This 507-nucleotide ribosomal RNA is filed under the name uncultured bacterium. RNAcentral's name for it is "bacterial SSU rRNA". It matches the Rfam family "Bacterial small subunit ribosomal RNA", at positions 791 to 1320 of the family's 1533-position model. The record is from RNAcentral.
UAGUCCACACCGUAAACGAUGAAUGCCAGACGUCAGGGGGCUUGCCCUUUGGUGUCACACCUAACGGAUUAAGCAUUCCGCCUGGGGAGUACGGUCGCAAGAUUAAAACUCAAAGGAAUUGACGGGGGCCCGCACAAGCGGUGGAGUAUGUGGUUUAAUUCGAAGCAACGCGCAGAACCUUACCUACCCUUAACAUUUCACGCUCGCCUCAGAGAUGAGGUUUUCUCUUCGGAGACGUGAGGAUAGGUGCUGCAUGGCUGUCGUCAGCUCGUGUCGUAAGAUGUCUGGUUAAGUCCGGCAACGAGCGCAACCCACAUCUUUAGUUGCCAGCAGGUUAAGCUGGGCACUCUAAAGAAACUGCCCGUGAUAAGCGGGAGGAAGGUGUGGAUGACGUCAAGUCCUCAUGGCCCUUACGGGUUGGGCUACACACGUGCUACAACGGCAUCUACAGUGAGUUAAUCUCCAAAAGAUGUCUCAGUUCGGAUUGGGGUCUGCAACUCGACCCCA